UUAGGCCUACGGGACGCAGCAGUGAGGAAUAUUGGUCAAUGGUCGGGAGACUGAACCAGCCAAGCCGCGUGAGGGAUGAAGGUACAGAGUAUCGUAAACCUCUUUUGUCAGGGAACAAAGGCGGGGACGCGUCCCCGGAUGAGUGUAACUGAAGAAAAAGCAUCGGCUAACUCCGGGCCAGCAGCCGCGGUAAUACAGAGGAUGCGAGCGUUAUCCGGAUUUAUUGGGGUUAAAGGGUGCGGAGGGGGGCUGUUAAGUCAGCGGACAAAGGCCGGGG
RNAcentral lists this ribosomal RNA (277 nucleotides) under uncultured bacterium. Its description in RNAcentral is "partial 16S ribosomal RNA". It matches the Rfam family "Bacterial small subunit ribosomal RNA", at positions 333 to 607 of the family's 1533-position model. The record is from RNAcentral.